GUGCUCACUUCAAUAGCAUGCAUACUAAAAUUGGAAUGGUACAGAGAAGAAUAGGUGACACACAAAUCCAUGAAGCAUUUCACAUUUAU
This is a small nuclear RNA of Ictidomys tridecemlineatus (thirteen-lined ground squirrel), 89 nucleotides long. The record is from Ensembl. NCBI's taxonomy places the organism in Eukaryota, Metazoa, Chordata, Mammalia, Rodentia, Sciuridae.